This 812-nucleotide long non-coding RNA is filed under the name Serinus canaria (Common canary). Its description in RNAcentral is "lncRNA (ENSSCAG00000001455.1)". The record is from RNAcentral. Lineage: Eukaryota; Metazoa; Chordata; Aves; Passeriformes; Fringillidae.
GGGGGGGGCUGGGGAGGAGGAGGAGGAGGAGAAGGAGGAGGAGGAGGAGGAAGGUCCUGGAGGGGACCAGGGGGGUCUGGGGGGCUCAGGGCCCUCGGGGACCCCUCAGUGACCCCUCCCCAAAUUCUGCCCCCAGCUCCGACAGCCAGGAGGGGAGCGAGGAGGAGGAAGGGGGGGAAUGUUUUUGCUGCCCUGAACCAGGAGCAGAGCGAGGAGGAGGAGGAGGAGGAGGAAGAAAAGGAGAAAAAAUCAACCAAGGGCAAAAGCAGCAAGGAGGAAGAGGAGGCUGAGAAGAAGAGGAAGAAAAACCCCAAGAAGGAAAAACCCAAAGGGAAGAAACAGGGGAGACCCCCCAGUGAUGAGGAGGAGGCCGAAGGCUCCGAGGAGGCCCCGGGCAGGAAGGUGAGGGGGGAAUUUGGGGAGAAACCCCAAAAUUUGGGGAUUUUGGGGAUGGAGACCCCAAAAUUUGGGGUUUUUUGGGGUCAAAAACUCUAAAAUUUGGUAUUUUUUGAGGUCAAAAACUCCAAAAUUUGGGAUUUUUUAAGGUCAAAAACUCCAAAAUUUGGGAUUUUUUAAGGUCAAAAACUCCAAAAUUUGGGAUUUUUGGAGUUUUGGGGGAAGGUGAGACCUCAAAAUUUGGGGGUUUUGGGGGUUUAGACCCAAAAAUUUGGGUUUUUUGGGGAUGGAAAUGACAAAAUUUGGGGAUUUUUAGGGGGAUUUUGGGGAUGAGACCCCAAAUUUUGGGUUUUUGGGGGAGUAGAGGCCCCAAAAUUUGGGUUUUUUGUUUUUUUUUGGGGGUGUUUGGGUAUUUU